UACGUAGGGGGCAAGCGUUGUCCGGAUUUAUUGGGCGUAAAGAGCGUGUAGGCGGCCAUGCAGGUCAGCUGUGAAAACUCGAGGCUCAACCUCGAGACGUCGGUUGAAACCGCUUGGCUAGAGUCCGGAAGAGGAGAGUGGAAUUCCCGGUGUAGCGGCGAAAUGCGCAGAUAUCGGGAAGAACACCCGUGGCGAAGGCGGCUCUCUGGGACGGUACUGACGCUGAGACGCGAAAGCGUGGGGAGCGAACAGG
RNAcentral lists this ribosomal RNA (253 nucleotides) under uncultured bacterium. RNAcentral describes it as "partial 16S ribosomal RNA". It matches the Rfam family "Bacterial small subunit ribosomal RNA", at positions 524 to 776 of the family's 1533-position model. The record is from RNAcentral.